Molecule: non-coding RNA, 560 nt
Organism: Drosophila takahashii
Lineage: Eukaryota; Metazoa; Arthropoda; Insecta; Diptera; Drosophilidae
Source: RefSeq, a predicted model, not a curated record
UCAGAAAUCAGACGGGCAGCAAGUGUCGUGGUUCAAGUGCGGCUAAUUUGGCUUAUUUGUGAUUUUCACACUGUUUUGUGGCUUAUUGUGCAGUGUUGAAAAAUCUAACUAAAUUCAAAAUCAGCUUAAAAGGAAAGUGUUUAAAGUUCCAUCAAUAAACCCAUAAAACAAAUUUAUAAGGGGAAAGAAAUCCUUCGAAUAAUAACCCUCAGUGUUUCAAAAGUGUUCAAAUUUUACAAUUCUUGCAUCGCAUCACCAAAAUCAGCGACUGCUUUUCUGCAUCCUCGUGAAUUUCCUGGAAAAUUUGGAGAAAAACUGUGCAAACGCCACUGGCCUGGAGAGUCAAGGUUGUGCAGCUGAAGGGAGAAGAAGCAACUGCAGCAGCCGCAUAAAUUCCAAAAAAAAUAAUAGAAACUGUAGCGGAUCUACAGCUGCAUUUGUACCCUCUAAAACAGCAGCAACAUCAUCUGUAAUCAAAAGCUUAGCCACAUCAUCGGAAUCUUCUGGCACUGAGGCAGCAGCAACAUUAACCAGCAGCAACAUGUGAGUACCACUCAAAU